AACGAACGCUGGCGGCAUGCCUAACACAUGCAAGUCGAACGAGACCUUCGGGUCUAGUGGCGCACGGGUGCGUAACGCGUGGGAACCUGCCCUUAGGUUCGGAAUAACUCCCCGAAAGGGGUGCUAAUACCGGAUAAUGUCUUCGGACCAAAGAUUUAUCGCCUUUGGAUGGGCCCGCGUUGGAUUAGCUAGUUGGUAGGGUAAAAGCCUACCAAGGCGACGAUCCAUAGCUGGGUGGAGAGGAUGAUCAGCCACACUGGGACUGAGACACGGCCCAGACUCCUACGGGAGGCAGCAGUGGGGAAUAUUGGACAAUGGGCGAAAGCCUGAUCCAGCAAUGCCGCGUGAGUGAUGAAGGCCUUAGGGUUGUAAAGCUCUUUUACCCGGGAUGAUAAUGACAGUACCGGGAGAAUAAGCUCCGGCUAACUCCGUG
Molecule: ribosomal RNA, 433 nt
Filed under: uncultured bacterium
Lineage: Bacteria
Description: partial 16S ribosomal RNA
Rfam family: Bacterial small subunit ribosomal RNA
Source: RNAcentral